CGCAGGGAAAAAGAAAAGGAGCCUGAUGAGGAGAUGGAGAUAAAAUGCCAUAUUAUGCCAUGGGAUCUAGUGUAUCUGAGGGUCUUCAGGAGAGAGUGACAUAAAACAAGGACCAAGGAGAGCAGCUCUAACAGCAGGCCAAGGGGGAAGGAGCACAUCUGAUGUCAUCUGAGCCAUUGCAAAAAGUUCCUAAAAUACCAGUCGAAGAAGAGGACAACAAAAACACGAUACAGAAGAGGAGAGCUGAGGAGCAGAGGAGAACUUAAACACAAUAAUGAAGAAGAGAGCUGAGGAAAAGAAAAUAAUAAAAGACAUGAUACAGAAGACAACAACAGAAAAAUUAAAAGCAAUUCAAGCCUACAAAGAGAUAAAAGAACGAAGUAAUGACCACCCAGGGCAUAUCAAGCAACAACAACAAAGUUAAGAAAAAUUUGUAAAUGAGAAGAGACUUUCAGGAGCAACAACCAAUGAGUGCAAAGCAGUGGAGUUCACAAGCAAUACACAGAGACAAAGUUGCUGCAAGGAUCAGUAACACUUUAGCGAGGACCAGUAACACCAGUGAGAAUUUAUUCUACAAUAAUCUCUGCAGAACCAAAGUUUAGAUAAAAUACUGAAGAUACCAAAACAAAAAGGAGACAAGGACAUCAACAGAAGAAAAAGGACGUCAACGGAAGGAAAAAAAAUAUGUUGGACAUUUUAUGGGAAACAAAAAAAAAACAUUAUGAAUGAAUGGUACAAAUGGGUAACUUUCAAAGCUAAGAGAAAUUGGUAUGAACAAUUGCUUAUUAUGCUCUAAAUCAUAAAAGGUAGGAAUAGUCAAAAGUCGACAUGAUAUUACAGGGGGGUUCGAUGUAACAAAUUGACAAAUUCUGGUUUAAAUAUCCAUUUUAUAGGGCAUAUUUUGGUAAAUAGUUAAUAUUGGGAAAGUUAAUAAAAGCAUUAAAAGGCAGAAUAGAAAUUCAAGAAAAACAAAUACUAAGGAAUAUUAAAGCUACAGUAGACCUUAUGGAACUAAAGAUGAGGGAUAUUUAAAGGGAAUAUUCUAUAACAUAGAACUUGAACAAAUCAAAUAUAAAAUUCCAAAAGCUAUUAUAAAUCCUUAAUAAUUUUGGCUUUAGGUAUGGAAAGGGUGGACAAUGCUGGUAUACAGUAAAAAGAAUGUGGGAAUCAGAUCAUAGCAGUGGACAUAUGAAGAUCAAACAGUAAUGUAAGCAGAAUUCUUUUGGUUUAAUUUUGAUUUGAUGGGAAAUGAUAACUUAUGGUGGUUUUGCAAUUAGAGAAGAAAUAUAUAUGUACAAGACUAAGGUUAAUUUAAGAAAUCAUCAUGAUUAUAUUGAAGUAUAUUGAACAAAAUACUGAGAAAACAAAUGAUAAAACUAAAAUAGUUUAUCCCUAAAUUGGUUUGGUAUUACCUGUUACAAUUUAAGCAAGAGAUGAGAUAAAAUCAUGGUUAGAAUAAAUAUUGAUUUAAUCUAGAAUUACUAAAUUAUAUCUACUAUAAUCAACAAAGGUUUAUUAAAUUUAACUAAUGAUGUUUUAACAAUUUUAGAAAAACAAUGAGAUACUACAAAGGGGUAUAGUUUUAUUGUAUGGAGAUUAAUGUUAUGCUAAAAAUACAACAUAGAUAUUCAUUGAAGCUAUCAAUAAGCUUAAGAGUUUAGGAUAAAAACUGCAACAAAUACAAGAAGAAAGAAUCUUAAUGUGGAAUUGGUGUGAUUUAAAAUUAGGAAAAUGGGUGAUUGUUUUGUCAAAUUCUCACAGACAUAUUUUUGUAUGUCAAAUGAUUAAAGGUAUAGGUUAAAGGAUGAAUAUUAUCAAAAGGUAAAGGAUGCAAAUUAUCAGAGGAUAAGGAUUUGUGAUUUUAAUUGGAUGGAUUGUUAUUUUAUUGUGUACUCCCUAUUUUGAAACAAAUGUUAAUGGAAAAUCAAGAUGAAAAGUUACUUCAUAUAGGAAAUUACAAAGUGCAUCAAAAUGGGUUUUGCAAAAGUUAGAAAAUGGUAAUAUUACAUCAGAAAAAGAUAAUGAAAAUAAUAAGUAUUGAAAAGGUAUUUGACUAAUUUCCACUCUUAUGAUGAAUAUGGAUGUUUUUAUGAGUUCUGAUUUUACAGCAACAAUGACAUAAUGAAGUAUAUUCCAUGAUCAUAAAGGUUUAUUAAUUGAAGGAGUAGGUUCUCUUACUUCUCCAAGAGAAAAUGUUUGUUCCACACUCCACCAAAGUGCGGCAGCAUGAUUUAAUCAUUGGUAAGGGAAAGAUGGCUUAAUUGGGCCAUUAAUUAGCUUAACUUAAUUGAACUGGAUUGUGAAGUUGCACUUUGGGUGAGACUUGUGAAAGUCUCAAAGGGUGGAAUGAAGAAGAUUUUUUUAAUUCAGAACUAUAUCUUUGGUGAACAUGGUAUUCAGAUUCAAAUGUGUUUUGCAAGUAAACAUGUCUCAUGCUUGUAAGCUGAAGACUAGCAGUCUUAAAGACUGCAAUGUAUGCAGGGUUUAAAAUAUGGUAACUGAGAGCAUACUGGAGCUAAAAAUGCAUAGGCUGACAUUUGGAAGGAAUGAAGUCACAACACCUGUCAAACAUAAAAACAUGCUAAAAACAACUACAUGGGAGGGGUUUCAACUUUUAGAGAACUGUAUAUUAGGUUGCAUUCUGAAAAAGACUCUUUAGUUGCUUGGCCACCAACUCGGCCUUAUUGUUGUAUGCAAUAAAGUCAUCUUUUGGCAAUGGAA
Molecule: long non-coding RNA, 2721 nt
Organism: Paramisgurnus dabryanus
Lineage: Eukaryota; Metazoa; Chordata; Actinopteri; Cypriniformes; Cobitidae
Source: RefSeq, a predicted model, not a curated record